ACGAACGCUGGCUGCAGGCUUAACACAUGCAAGUCGAGCGCCCCGCAAGGGGAGCGGCAGACGGGUGAGUAACGCGUGGGAAUCUACCCAUCUCUACGGAAUAACCCAGGGAAACUUGGACUAAUACCGUAUACGUCCUUCGGGAGAAAGAUUUAUCGGAGAUGGAUGAGCCCGCGUUGGAUUAGCUAGUUGGUGGGGUAAUGGCCUACCAAGGCGAUGAUCCACAGCUGGUCUGAGAGGAUGAUCAGCCACAUUGGGACUGAGACACGGCCCAAACUCCUACGGGAGGCAGCAGUGGGGAAUAUUGGACAAUGGGCGAAAGCCUGAUCCAGCCAUGCCGCGUGAGUGAUGAAGGCCCUAGGGUUGUAAAGCUCUUUCAACGGUGAAGAUAAUGACGGUAACCGUAGAAGAAGCCCCGGCUAACUUCGU
RNAcentral lists this ribosomal RNA (429 nucleotides) under uncultured bacterium. RNAcentral describes it as "bacterial SSU rRNA". It matches the Rfam family "Bacterial small subunit ribosomal RNA", at positions 29 to 506 of the family's 1533-position model. The record is from RNAcentral.